AAUUCGUGAAGCGUUCCAUAUUUU
RNAcentral lists this non-coding RNA (24 nucleotides) under Xenopus tropicalis (tropical clawed frog). Lineage: Eukaryota; Metazoa; Chordata; Amphibia; Anura; Pipidae. RNAcentral also lists the same sequence under 6 other names. The record is from RNAcentral.